AGCCUCUUCUUUCCAGCUCAAGGGUCAAGACAGUGUCCCCAGGAAGAAGCAAAGGCUGUGUUUUCCACACUCUUAUCUAGAGGUGAGCUGGCAGAAGCUCCUCCCAGACUGCAUCUAUCAGACAGGGAGACAAUAACUGCUUGGGUGAGGAACAAAGGGAGGAGACACCAACUGUCCCCACUAAUGACAGAAGAUGUGGCAGCCUGAAGCCCUAAUAUUGGCUGUGGCCCUUUAAGAUCCCUCCCCACUUAACUGUAACACCCCCCUUCUCCAGGAAACUGGCAAGGACCCUUGGCACUGUUGGCCAGCGCUCUUGGAGACAGCCAGGACGGGGUUGGCAGGACUGCCUACACUGCUUUGAAAAUAUUUAACAAUAGAUACAGGGUCUCGCCAUGAGCCACAGCACCUGGCCACUUCUCAUUUUUAAUACUGUAGACCCAGAGGAAAGCACUGGGAGGAAUGAGAAAGUAGCGACUAGACAAAAAUGAAAACUCUUUAAGAAGCAUUGCUGAAGUUACAGGGGAAAAAGAUUAAGACAACUGAGGUUAAGGGCCUGACUCCAGAUCACACAGCAAGGGAGAUGGCAAAAUCAAGAUUUCAACCCAGGAAACCUGCCUCCCAUGCCUAUGUUAAUCACUACACCCUUCCCACAAUAAAUAAUCAAAUAAGCUA
RNAcentral lists this long non-coding RNA (672 nucleotides) under Homo sapiens (human). RNAcentral describes it as "HSALNT0318778". Lineage: Eukaryota; Metazoa; Chordata; Mammalia; Primates; Hominidae. The record is from RNAcentral.